RNAcentral lists this ribosomal RNA (409 nucleotides) under bacterium. RNAcentral's name for it is "partial 16S ribosomal RNA". It matches the Rfam family "Bacterial small subunit ribosomal RNA", at positions 355 to 776 of the family's 1533-position model. The record is from RNAcentral.
UGGGGAAUAUUGCACAAUGGGCGAAAGCCUGAUGCAGCGACGCCGCGUGAGGGAUGACGGCCUUCGGGUUGUAAACCUCUUUCAGUAGGGACGAAGCGCAAGUGACGGUACCUGCAGAAGAAGCACCGGCUAACUACGUGCCAGCAGCAGCGGUAAUACGUAGGGUGCGAGCGUUGUCCGGAAUUACUGGGCGUAAAGAGCUCGUAGGCGGUUUGUCACGUCGUCUGUGAAAUCAUAGGGCUUAACCCUGGACGUGCAGGCGAUACAGGCUGACUUGAGUACUACAGGGAAGACUGGAAUUUCUGGUGUAGCGGUGGAAUGCACAGAUAUCAGGAAGGACACCGAUGGCGAAGGCAGGUCUCUGGGUAGUAACUAACGCUGAGGAGCGAAAGCAUGGGUAGCGAACAGG